This 328-nucleotide RNase P RNA is filed under the name Bdellovibrio sp. CG_4_9_14_3_um_filter_39_7. RNAcentral's name for it is "partial RNase P RNA component class A". It matches the Rfam family "Bacterial RNase P class A", at positions 66 to 367 of the family's 367-position model. From Rfam's summary of the family: Ribonuclease P (RNase P) is a ubiquitous endoribonuclease, found in archaea, bacteria and eukarya as well as chloroplasts and mitochondria. Its best characterised activity is the generation of mature 5'-ends of tRNAs by cleaving the 5'-leader elements of precursor-tRNAs. The record is from RNAcentral. Lineage: Bacteria; Pseudomonadati; Bdellovibrionota; Bdellovibrionia; Bdellovibrionales; Pseudobdellovibrionaceae.
GCAGCGUAGCGGGUAACGCCCGCCGCCAGCAAACUAGGGACAGCGGCCAGUUUUCAUAAUUAUGAUAAACUGGAAAACUGGCCGCUGUCCCUAGUUUGCGGCAGGAUCAGAGUCACAGAGACCAAUGCCGGAUAAUGCCGGAGUGAAAAGAGACAAUCUCUACGCGGAGCAAGACCAAAUAGGUCCAGCUUAAAGAGCUGCCCGCUCGCAACAGCUGGACGGGUAGGUUGCAUGAUCCUGGCAGCAAUGCCAGAAUACAGAUAGAUGACUGUUGCAAUUAGCGCUUCGCGCUGAUUGACAGAACCCGGCUUACAGGCUUGCGCCUAUG